AUGAGAAUACACCUUAUCUGCUACAGGCAGUGGUGUAGACUCAGUGGGUCGAUUCUCGUGAUUUCUCAUGAGCAGGUCAUUAUUUCGCUCAGCCACAAGUAGGAGAGAAAUCAAUUCAGAGUACUUUGUGAAGCCUUUUUCUCUGUACUGUUGUUGCAGUACCAUAUUGGAGGCAUGAAACGUUGUAAACGUUUUCUCAAGCAUAUCAUAAUCGGAGCUAUUAUCCCCGCAUAGCUUCAAUUUAGAAGUAAUUCUGAACAUUGCAGAAUUAUAUUCAGAAAAGGACUUAAAGUCCUGGAGCCUCAGAUGAGCCCAAUCAUAUCGUGCUUGUGGGAGAGUGGCCAACUUCAGGUUCAAUCAUAUCGUGCUUGUGGCAGAGUGACCAACUUCAGGUUGUCAUAUCUCUCCUUUAAGCCUUUCCACAAGAUGAGUGGACCCUUGACGGUGAGAUAUUCAAUCUUCAAACCUUCAUCAAGGUGAUGGCGCAAGAAAAGGCCUUAGCACAAUCUUGGGUGGAUGCUUUAUAUCUAUGUUUAAUGGUGUCUCCAAGACCCAUAGCAUCUAAGUGGAUUUCAGCAUCCAACACCCAUG
This 591-nucleotide long non-coding RNA is filed under the name Nicotiana benthamiana. Its description in RNAcentral is "long non-coding RNA (NBEN_LNC009665)". Lineage: Eukaryota; Viridiplantae; Streptophyta; Magnoliopsida; Solanales; Solanaceae. The record is from RNAcentral.